UACGUAGGGGGCGAGCGUUAUCCGGAAUGACUGGGCGUAAAGGGUGCGUAGGUGGUUUGAUAAGUUGGUAGCGUAAUUCCGAGGCUCAACCUCGGCGCUACUACCAAAACUGUCGGACUUGAGUGCAGGAGGGGCAAAUGGAAUUCCUUGUGUAGCGGUGAAAUGCGUAGAUAUAAGGAAGAACACCAGUGGCGAAGGCGGAUAACUGGACGGCAACUGACGGUGAGGCGCGAAAGUGUGGGGAGCAAACAGG
RNAcentral lists this ribosomal RNA (253 nucleotides) under uncultured Eubacteriales bacterium. RNAcentral describes it as "uncultured Clostridiales bacterium partial 16S ribosomal RNA". It matches the Rfam family "Bacterial small subunit ribosomal RNA", at positions 524 to 776 of the family's 1533-position model. Lineage: Bacteria; Bacillati; Bacillota; Clostridia; Eubacteriales. The record is from RNAcentral.